RNAcentral lists this ribosomal RNA (403 nucleotides) under bacterium. Its description in RNAcentral is "partial 16S ribosomal RNA". It matches the Rfam family "Bacterial small subunit ribosomal RNA", at positions 355 to 776 of the family's 1533-position model. RNAcentral also lists the same sequence under 2 other names. The record is from RNAcentral.
UGGGGAAUAUUGCACAAUGGAGGGAACUCUGAUGCAGCGACGCCGCGUGAACGAAGAAGGCUUUCGAGUCGUAAAGUUCUUUUAUAUGGGAAGAUAAUGACGGUACCAUAAGAAAAAGCCUCGGCUAACUACGUGCCAGCAGCCGCGGUAAUACGUAGGGGGCUAGCGUUGUCCGGAAUCACUGGGCGUAAAGGGUUCGCAGGCGGAAAUGCAAGUCAGGUGUAAAAGGCAGUAGCUUAACUACUGUAAGCAUUUGAAACUGCAUAUCUUGAGAAGAGUAGAGGUAAGUGGAAUUUUUAGUGUAGCGGUGAAAUGCGUAGAUAUUAAAAAGAAUACCGGUGGCGAAGGCGACUUACUGGGCUCAUUCUGACGCUGAGGAACGAAAGCGUGGGUAGCAAACAGG